GGCUAAUCCGGUUUCUGACGAGAAGGACCUUGAGCUUCCUGAUGGUCACUUCCCUCCUAUGCAGUCGGGGGUGGGGCCGGAUCUCUAGUGAGAGUCAGAGGGAACAGAAGACCAAGGAGAGUGACAGUGGACCUUCCCUCGCCUUCUGAAACUAUAGUAUGACCAUCGCUUCCCACUCGAACAUUAACCUUGAUUGGCUGUUAAACGCUGUCUCUUUUCCCUCUCUGUUGUUAAAAAUAGAUUGGCAGGAUCUAGGUAAGUGCACCAGUGGGGACUUACUUUGGAUCUCAAAUCUGGAGAUGAGCGAACAAGGAUCUGACAACACUGGUAGUCUUUUUACUGGCAGAGUCCUAAUGUGGUGUGCGGCAAGGCAUAGCAAGGGAGGAAGGAAGGACGGAAGGAAGGGAGGGAGGGAGGGAGGGAGGGAGGGAGGGAGGGAGGGAGGGAGGGAGGGAGGGAGGGAGGAAGCUCAUGCAUGCAUGAGUCUCUUCCCUAUCCACUUCGGUGUGUGUGCCUGUCUGUCUGUCUGUCUGUCUGUCUGCCUGCCUGCCUGCCUGUGACUACGUGUUCCCUCUUCUUUAAAAGUCACCAGUAUAGAAUGAUGACAACGCCAUCCUGAUGAUAUUCUCUGUUUGUAAUCAGUCCCCAGAUUCUGCCUCUAAACACCAUGACACAAUUAGGUUUCCAUCAACUCAAUACCUCACAAGGAUAAAACUCAUGGACUUCAGAAACAACAUGUUGUUCCUCACACCAUAGUAAACCUCAUCUCCAGGGGGCAGUCAAACUCAGUGUAGGAGCUGAGGGCAAUACCAUUCAGUCUGUAGUACUUGUUUGUUCCAAAGCAGGUUUGUGUACAGACCCUGUGGUUGAGUUCACCUUAUUCCUUAAUUAAAGAGGAAGUUUGAUGUUGGUAAGCCUUUCUCUCCACUCCAGAUUCUUCCUCAGAGGCGGAACCUUCUUGGUUCUGAGCCUCAGGAAGCAAGCCUCUGCAAUUGCUCUCCGGCUAGCAGGUUACUGAUUACUUUUGGCCCCUGGGAUAAACUGGCAGAUGAUCAAUUUUCUGGAGGCAUGAGAAGCCACAAUAUUAAUUUUCUGUUCCUCCCCCAUGUUAGCUCUGCACCUUGUGUGGCUGCCUUAAACCUCCAACGCUGCACCUGGAAAUUCCUUUCUCUGUCACACUGCUAACGGUGUUCUGGUAACGCUCCUUUGCCCUUGCCCCUUCAGCUAAGAGGUAACCAAUGUGUCUAGAGCCAGGGUAAGUCUUGAAACUGUGCCCAGGUCUCCAUCAAGAGUGUUGCUGCUAACAUUUCUUCACUGAAAGCUUACAAAGAGUGAAUUCCGUUUCUUUGAGACCAGGGGCUUGGCUAUCUUUGCUUAAAUUUCCCUUUUAAUUUAAAUCUCAGUGUGUGGACCUGCCAGUCUCCGUUUGUAUUUAAGGGGGGAGGGGGAGUUCAUAGGUAAUUAUCAGAACUAGAAGUGAAACAUGAAAAAGAGAAGGAGAAAGUGCUAGAAGAAUUCGUUACAAAUCUGCAUAAAGACAUUGUCCCUUACACCUUUAGAAAACCUCUCAACUCUCAAGGGAUGUCAUAGGAGAACUGUGUAGACAGAAUGCCCUUUGUCUUCUUAGGAAUAAGUUGAAAGUUAUUACCCAAGAUCUCUCCAUUGCUUUAUUGGGAGGGUUAUGAGGGGCCAUUUUUCCGUUUCCCUACUUUAGAAUGAGAAGUGACCAUUUUCAGUACUUGAGUAUAAAAUAGGUCAUUUCCCUCUUGCUUUGUCAGAGAAGUCUGGCUUCCUUAAAUUGACUGGCGAGGUUUAUUCAUGGAGUUGCUCUAAGCAGUGUUAACUGUGUUUCAAACUCAGCCCUCUCCUCAUUGCUUCCUAAAGAAAUCUUGAAGUUCUAAAGGCAACAGGUCACCGUGGGUGCUGGGGAAAGCCUUCAUCAGAGAAGCGACCCCAGUGGGCCCCACUCAGCUAUAAGUCCAGAUGCUCUGAUAGAAUGGCCAAGAAGUCAGAGCAGGAGACAGGAUGUAAUGGGACAGGAAUAGUUUUCUCAGCAGACAGAGAGAAAUCUGUCCUCAAAAAAGUAUAACCGUGAGUGUUUAUUGAUGACAGAAGCAUUCCCACGUUGGACUUCUCGAGUCCCUUCAUUCACCAGACUUAUUUUAAAAGAGGUGGCCACAAGGACACCAAGCCUCACCCUCCAUGCUAGGCCAGGCCAAUGUCUGUCACAGUGUAUGUUGCUAAAGUGUGGCUUGAAGAUUAGAUGAAAGCUCUUUUAGAAGGAAGAGGAGAGGAAAAGGAGAAGGGGGAGGAAAGGGAAGAAAAGGAGAAAGAAAGAAAGAAAGAAAGAAAGAAAGAAAGAAAGAAGGAAAGAGAGAGAAAGAAAGAAAGAAAGAAAGAAAGAAAGAAAGAAAGAAAGAAAGAAAGAAAGAAAGGGCAGAAGGAAGGAAGGAAAAAUAGAGGAGGAAGGAAAGAAAACUAGCUAUUUUUCAUGAUCUGUCCUGAGAAAAUAUUUCUAAACUCACCCUACAAACUGCUGUCUAUAACACCAUUGGAGUCAAAUGGGCCCCUUUCAGACAGGGAAAUUCACAGCUGCUGGCUGUGGCAUGCAGGGCACGCAGCCAGGGACACCUAAGAGCAAGUGCUUGCCUCUCUCUCUCACCCAGAAUGAUGAUGCAGGAAUGACAAAGGGAGAUACUGGGGAAUGUCAAGUCAAACAAAUCAUAGCUCUUCUCCGGUGGCUCCUGUGACCUUGUUCUGAGGUAAGGCACACAGGCGGGAGGGACAUUCAGGAUAAGCAAUGUUUGUCAUCUGAGGCUUCUAUCUGCUCCAAACGGAACUUUAAAUCUCCCUUAUGGAGGCAUUGACAUUUAGUUUGGCACAUUUUCAGAUACUAGGGGAAAAAAAAAACAUGACUUGACAAGAAAAAAAGUCAAGUUAAUACACAGGAAAAGGAGGCCAUUAUUUCCAUAGUUCAGCAUCUAAUUUACAUAGAAGCAUGCAAACACGCGUUUUUGGACACUAGAAUUUCUAUUGUUUUAAAUUACUGUUUUUUUCUGUCACUGAGUCAAGGAAGAUAACUGUGGCUUUUACAAAUCCCAAAUCAAGUAAAAUUAGGUUCCCCAUUGCUACAUCCAGAAUCAAUCAAUCUUUCUUUCUUUCUUUCUUUCUUUCUUUCUUUCUUUCUUUCUUUCUUUCUAUCUUCCUUCCUUCCUCCCUUCCUCCAUCCCUCCCUCCCUUCCUUCUUUCCUUCCCGUGCUUAUUUUCAAUCAUAUGAGGUUUUUAUCUAAAAGUCGCUGAGUUGACCUGUCUCAUAUUAAGCUUUAUCGCCUGCAAAGAUGAAGGAGGCGGUCGUCCAGGGAAGUAUUAGCAUUCUUCUUAGGGUGGUUAUAAAUAUUAAAUUGGGCACAUGCUUAUCUGAUAAACUUUACUAUACAUAGACCAAGUUUCGAUUAGGGCAGGGGCAGGGGUAUUAUUUUAUAUGACAAACUGAUCCAGCUCUUUCCCCAAAUUAAAACAUGAGGACUCCUGAGGGACUGUGUGCACACACAUGCCUUUAAGGAGAGAGACUUUAUAAUCGAUAGGCUCGCUGAAAGUUUAUUUUUGUCCCCGUUAGAAAGAGCGUCUAAUUCUGCCCCCCCCCAACCAAUGCGCACACUUCGCUCCAGCCUGAACAUCCUGUGACUUCAGUAGUCCUGACAUUUUAAGGUGGUAUUUGAUCCUUCCAAAUCUUUGAAGAUCAUUUUUCUGCAGACUCUUCACCAUCCCACCUUUAAAGAUAAAAGGCCAGUCUGUGAAGGAGAUCAGGUCGAAGAAAGUUCAGUUUUGUAAUUCCAGCAACAGGACACUUCCCUCACUGACUGUCUCCCACAUAUCAGUUAUUUGAGACAGACUUUUUUAUUUGUUUGUUUGUUUUUCUUUUUUAGAAGAAAGAGAGGUCUGGUGUCAAAAGUGCUGCCAAACAUCCCCAAAUCACAGAGUCUCUUAACUCCGACAGGUUAAGAAAAGACAGUUUGCCUUCAUACCUUCAGCUUUCCUUAUUAACUUUGACCUCGGCCUUUUCUCAGUCAGCUGCUUACACAGGCAUUUCACACAGGAGAAGUGAAGGAAAUUCCAGAAGAAAAGCAAGCAGCAUAAAAACGACUUUUUACGGAAAGUUCAACAACCUCCAGAGAGAUCGAGUAUGGCAUGCUGAAGGAGCUGACUUCAUUUAUUAAAUGCACUUCCCGAUGUGUUAAGUAACUCGUUCUUCUAAGUGCACAGGGUUUGUAUUACUCUUCUCUCUGCUGCCUCCUUCCCCUCUGUAGGAUUUAUGAUGUUUUCCUGACAGGCUCCAUGUGCCUGAGGCCCAUUAGGUAGGACUGAGGUCUCACCUUUUCUAAGUCCAGAAGUCAUCCUGAGGAAGUGCUAUUACUUCAUGUGUAAAACUGCAAAACACACACAGAAUCACUUGGAACAGAAACUCUUUCUGUCAAGGGUUGCUCUUCCUCCAAAGUUUCUUCUCUGAAAACUUAUUACUAUUAUUAUUAAUUACUAUUAUUAGUUUUGCUGAUUUGAUUAUGCUCUACUGAAGGUAGUUAGAAAAUGAUAUAAAAUAGGAAAUAUUGUUGCUUGCAAAACAGUGUCAAAGGCCAACAGAUAAACCUUCAAAUUCAUCUGCAGCACAUGUCAAUUAGAUGCUGUCCAGAAAAUAGGGCAAGCAACAGGACUUCUUCCUCUGUUCAAAGUGUCAGUCCAAUUCAGUUUCAACCCAGAAUGUGUUUUAGGUCUGAGGUAAUAGGCCUACCUCAUUUCUUCCAUAGAUUUUGUCUGGAGGAGCGACCAACUGGAUCCACUUCAACUCUGGAGAUCACUACAUGCCACCACAUACUAUAUUGUUGGCCACGAGCAGCACUGAAUCUUCACGUGUAGCUUCUUACACUGUCAUGCCCCAUAGUACCCACAGCUAAAUCUAUACUUUCCAGCAAAGAACACAAGCCUGCAAUUGCCCUUACAGUUUCAAAGCUUAGCUUUGCAGGUAAUUGGGGAAAGUUAGUUAUGUUCUCCGUGCACAAGUUAAUUCAUUCCCACUAAAACAAUUACAGCAUUGACUGUGUCAUGAGUCUGUGAGGAUUGUAUAGUUCACAUGAAGCUGCUUAGGAACAUGUAAGCAUUCAUGUGUGCAUAAUUAUACAUUACUGUACUUUUAUUUUCAUUAUUUUUAUUGUACAAAUGUAAAUUUCUUUCUUCAUAUCAUAGAGAAUUGACACAGCAACAUUAACUUGAUUUAAUUAGCUCAUAAAAUCUGGACUUGCCAAGCUGGUCAACUGAGGCCACUUUUGGGAACCCAGAGGAAGAAGGUAUCUUCUAUAUCUAUUAUAUAGUCUAUCUAUUUAUGGGGAUAAAUAGAUGUUGGUAGAAGUGGAGGUUUCUGGAAUUGUCUGAAAAUAGUUCCUAUUGCCAAACUUUUGUACAUCAAGUGUGUGUACAAGAAAGACCUCAGAAAGUCAGCACUGCUAUAGGACUGUGCACAAGCCAAGUAUCUGAAUAAUUUCUGGUGACUGGGCUUUUUCCCUGUUGAGUUCGAUGACUGUACUCCACUAGGAGAAAGGUCAUGAAGCAUGGUUCCUGCUAGGGCUGACAUUUAACAAGGAGUGAUUGAUUUGAAAGCAGGAUUGAUACUCAGAUUUAGUCUACCGGUGUUUUGCUAAAAUCCCUUUAAAAUGGGACUGUAAGUUCAUCCUCUCUUUUUCUUUCCUCUGAAUAGAUUUUUUUUUAACUAGGCCAAAAACUACCAAUAGCCAGCUCAAGUAAAACACAAGCCAAUUCAUGUCUUCAGUGUCCACCAUCUGAGUAUCUCCUAGUUAGAGGAAUGAUCACAGUUCUUAAAGUAUGAAAACACUAGUUACUGAUCGCUACCUAUCCUGAGCCCUCACUGCUAACACAGGAGCUCCAGAUGAAAUCUAAAUUUGCUAUUUCAAGCCCAUUGCUGUGUUGAUCAUUUGAGAUAAAAAUGACAUAGUUUUGAGUCUUCGGAAACUGCUCCACUUAACUCCCAAACCGUUGCUUUUGAAAAAGGCUAAUUUGGGGUUGGGUACAUUGGUGUUGCUGCCUUGUAAAACGGCAAGCUUUUUUUUAAAAAAGAAAAAGAAAGAAAAGAAAAAAAUGAAAAAAAUGGCAGCAGAGACAUUUUUUCUAGCCCAUGUCAGCACAAAAGGGUGACUCAGUUGUUUCAUCUCCCAACAGCUGCAUGCUUUCAUUGACAUUUGGUGACCUUUCUUUGUGCACCCAGCCUAACCUCUUAGGUUAUUUCCUGGCCUCCCUUCUGUGACCUAUGACCGAAGCUGACCUUUAGCUGGAGAAUGUGACAUUUUGUUCUCCUCUAGCUGACAUGUGAUGCUCUCAUUAUUCAAAGAGCCAUCUUGGGAACAGUUCCAAACUGUGGAGAACAGAAGUUUCGACUGCUUGACUGAAGUGUUAACGUCAUCCAGUCUGAGAUUUCAUAACUUUACAAACAAGAGGCCGAGGCCUCAGUGGAGUCACCAGUGGCCGUCUUAAUUACAGCAUCAACAAAUGAGCAUUUCAGCAAAAACACGCAACCUUCUUGGUGCAGGUUCAGCUAAAGUUUCUCAUUCUGAAGCUGUCGUUUCCUCUCUACUUUCACCUCCUCAUUCUUGGGAAAAAAAGUAGUUUCCCCAUUACAGUCUUUUUUUUAAAAGUAUAGUUAAAAAAUAAAAUAAUAUCUUGGGUCCUGUGGAUCUUUUCUCAUGAAUGACUUAGUUAGCUGUUUAAGCUUGUGUCAAGAUAAUAUCCUCGAAAUUUGCUGAAAUAACCAUUCUCUUUCAGGUCAUGAUGUCUGUGAUUAGUUUCAAAGAGGCUAGGGCAUAUGUCAAUGCUGUAGGAAAUGUGUUGUUUAUGCCCCAAGAAGCUGUAUCUUCUCCUGAGUGCUACCUUCCCCGUGAAGAGAUGAGUUGAUUUCUGAAUUGUAAAACAAUGCCAUAUGGGAUAUAGGUUCAACAAAUAUUUGAAUGGAAGCUUUAUACAGAGAACUCCAGUGGUGAUAAAAUAGUGAGUCCUGCACCUGGCCUUCAACAAAGAUGUGUCCUUACCAAGAGCACACUGAAAUGUCUAACUCCUGAAAGAAUGUUUUGCAAGUUUUAGAGUUUGACAAGAUAUGGUGACUCGAGCCUGCAACACCAGGUCUUGGGUGGCCAAGGUGAAAGGAUAGCUUUAAUUUCAGGGCUGACCUGAGCUAGAUAGCAGGGUUCUGUUUCAAAACAAAAGCCGUGUGGAUCCCCCACCAAAGAAAAGCCUCAAUGUAAAUCUGCUUUCAUAAUUUUAAUAACUCUAUCCAAUCAAUUCUGAUGUUCUGUUCAUAGAUGAGUUCUUAGCUUACAUAUAAAAUAUCUUUCCUGUGUCAUUUUUAUGCCUAAUUGGUGUAUAACAUCCACUGAACAUCAAAAUAAAUGUUAUAAGUCAUUG
Molecule: non-coding RNA, 7461 nt
Organism: Rattus norvegicus (Norway rat)
Lineage: Eukaryota; Metazoa; Chordata; Mammalia; Rodentia; Muridae
Source: RefSeq, a predicted model, not a curated record